AUCUAAGAGCAAUCUGGCUGUGACAUCUGUCACCCCAGUGUCUCACAGGGUUGAUUAUGCUGAUCUGGCUGGCUAGGCAGGUAGUUCUCUUCCUCCCUCACUGCUCAAUAUGUGUUUUUUCCUAAGCUGCGUGCUUGGUCAGGCUUGGUCAGAGAGGACCUUUCUUUGGUCAAGGGUGUAUAAGUACCUGGGCUCCCCUGCUGGAACCUCCAAAAAAACCUUCAAAGUCCAUUUGUAGGAGAACAUAGGGUAGUCAGGCUUCCAAGACUCCUGACACACCCAAAUGAGGUGCUGAAUGUGGCAGUCUGCCUUUCUUU
This is a non-coding RNA of Canis lupus familiaris (dog), 317 nucleotides long. Lineage: Eukaryota; Metazoa; Chordata; Mammalia; Carnivora; Canidae. The record is from Rfam.